This 492-nucleotide ribosomal RNA is filed under the name uncultured bacterium. Its description in RNAcentral is "partial 16S ribosomal RNA". It matches the Rfam family "Bacterial small subunit ribosomal RNA", at positions 30 to 507 of the family's 1533-position model. The record is from RNAcentral.
AUUGAACGCUGGCGGUAGGACUAACACAUGCAAGUCGAACGGUAACACACUGAAAGCUUGCUCUUACUGGUGGAGGGUUGCGUAAUGCUGAGGAAUGCAUCGGAAUCUAGGUUUUCGUUGCUGAUAACGGUAGGAAACUUCCCAUAAUACCUCAUGCGACCUACGGGUGACAGCAGGGGAUCUUCCGACUUUGCGCGCUUGAAUGAGCCGAUGUCGGAUUAGCUAGUUGGCGGGGUAAAGGCCCACCAAGGCGACGAUCCGUAGCUGGUCUGAGAGGAUGAUCAGCCACACUGGAACUGAGACACGGCCCAGACUCCUACGGGAGGCAGCAGUGGGGAAUAUUGGACAAUGGGCGCAAGCCUGAUCCAGCAAUACCGCGUGGAGGAAGAAGGCCUUCGGGUUGUAAACUGCUUUUGUUGGGAAAGAAAAGCAGCAGGUUAAUACCCCGCGGUACUGACGGUACCGAAAGAAUAAGCACCGGCUAACUUCGUG